Molecule: ribosomal RNA, 775 nt
Filed under: Lepraria vouauxii
Lineage: Eukaryota; Fungi; Ascomycota; Lecanoromycetes; Lecanorales; Stereocaulaceae
Description: SSU rRNA
Rfam family: Bacterial small subunit ribosomal RNA
Source: RNAcentral
AUAGCUGAUUGCACCAACAAAUGGUUGAUGCAAUAUUGACUCUGUCAAAUAAAAUUCUAGGUAGAAUUAUGAUAAUGACAUUGUCUGCCUAUAUGUCUUGACCAAAUUACGUGCCAGCAGUCGCGGUAAUACGUAGAAGACUAGUGUUAUUCAUCUUUAAUAGGUUUAAAGGGUACCUAGACGGUAAAUCAAGCCUUCACAGGGACUAAUUUACUAGAGUUACUUACGAGGGGGUAUUAAAGUACUGCAGGUGUAGAGAUGAAAUUCUGUCAUACCUCUUUUCAAAAGAAAAAUUAUGGCACAGGUAUAGGUGAAAGCAUCCCCUUAUGUGAUAACUGACGUUGAAGGACGAAGGCUUUGUGUCGCGAACAGGAUUAGAUACCCCAGUAGUCAAAGCAGAAAAUGAUGAAUGUCAUAGAUUAGAUAUAUAGUUUAUUCUAUAAAUGAAAAUGUAAGCAUUCCACCUCAAGAGUAAUUUGGCAACAUUGGAACUGAAAUCAUUAGACCGUUUCUGAAACCAGUAGUGAAGUAUGUUGUUUAAUUUGAUGAUCCGCAAAAAACCUUACCACAAUUUGAAUAUUUGUAUCUAUCUUUUUUUCGUAAAGAAAUAAAAAGCUAAUAUAUUUACAAGCGUUGCACGGCUGUCUUCAGUUAAUGUCGCGAGACUUUGGUUAGUUCCAUUUAAUUAACGUAAACCCUUACUUUAUUUUUAUAUGAAGUAGUUCCCCGCUAUAUUGGAUAUGAUAACAGGGACUAGGACAAGUCAUCAUGGCCU